RNAcentral lists this transfer RNA (67 nucleotides) under Cherax dispar. RNAcentral describes it as "tRNA-Glu". Lineage: Eukaryota; Metazoa; Arthropoda; Malacostraca; Decapoda; Parastacidae. The record is from RNAcentral.
CUUUUUUAUAGUGUAUUAAACACGUUACAUUUUCGUUGUAAAACUGAAGAGUCACUCUUCUAAAAAU